This 72-nucleotide transfer RNA is filed under the name Trichosporon asahii var. asahii CBS 8904. Its description in RNAcentral is "tRNA-Arg (TCT) (tRNA-Arg-TCT-3-1)". It matches the Rfam family "tRNA". From Rfam's summary of the family: Transfer RNA (tRNA) molecules are approximately 80 nucleotides in length. Their secondary structure includes four short double-helical elements and three loops (D, anti-codon, and T loops). The record is from RNAcentral. Lineage: Eukaryota; Fungi; Basidiomycota; Tremellomycetes; Trichosporonales; Trichosporonaceae.
GCCGCUGUGUCGCAAUGGCAGCGUGUUUGACUUCUAAUCAAAAGGUUGCGGGUUCGAGUCCCGUCAGUGGCU